UUAAUGGAUUGGCUACUCUCCAACGGCAUAAGGGCACAUGGCGUUCUCCCACUGAUCGCGAGUAAUGCUGCCGUCCUAUAAAUAGAGCCCCCUCCCCCCCUCUUCCCCAACCCCAACCCCAGCUCCAAUUGUAAAUGAUUUGAUUUUUGCUCAUCUUUAACAUAUAAGCAAUGAAAUAGUCUCUAACUUGGCUCUUAAGCUUCCUCUACUUUUCUCUAGGUGUUUUAGCUUCAGUCUGUGGCAGAGUCAGAAUUUUCAGUAAUGGGGUUUCACAAGUGAAUAUAUGAACUAAUCGAAGGAGGUUCAACACAGGGAUAGAUCCAAGAUUCUGAGGUAUCGGAUGUCAUGCCGUUCAAGUAGGAUUUGCGGGUCGAUUCUUUUAAUUUUGGGUUACAAUUUGAAUUAUUUAUUAUUUUUUUAUUUUAUAAACAAAUCAAUCAAAUACGUCUAGUGAGUUAUAUUCUUUUUUUUUUAGAUAUUCUUAGAUCAAAAACUCCUAAGUAGUUUAAUUUUUUUCGAUAUAAGAGGUUUUAUUCUUCAAAACUUUGAGAGAAAAAGAGAUUUUUCAUGUUAAAAAUUUAAAUUUUUAUAAACCAUAUGAUAUAGUUAUCUUAAUAUAUUCAUAUUUCAUUACC
RNAcentral lists this long non-coding RNA (635 nucleotides) under Capsicum annuum. RNAcentral describes it as "long non-coding RNA (CANN_LNC003753)". The record is from RNAcentral. Lineage: Eukaryota; Viridiplantae; Streptophyta; Magnoliopsida; Solanales; Solanaceae.